This 492-nucleotide ribosomal RNA is filed under the name uncultured bacterium. RNAcentral describes it as "partial 16S ribosomal RNA". It matches the Rfam family "Bacterial small subunit ribosomal RNA", at positions 29 to 507 of the family's 1533-position model. The record is from RNAcentral.
AGUGAACGCUGGCGGUAGGCCUAACACAUGCAAGUCGAACGGCAGCACAGUAAGAGCUUGCUCUUACGGGUGGCGAGUGGCGGACGGGUGAGGAAUACAUCGGAAUCUACUUUUUCGUGGGGGAUAACGUAGGGAAACUUACGCUAAUACCGCAUACGACCUACGGGUGAAAGCAGGGGAUCUUCGGACCUUGCGCGAUUGAAUGAGCCGAUGUCGGAUUAGCUAGUUGGCGGGGUAAAGGCCCACCAAGGCGACGAUCCGUAGCUGGUCUGAGAGGAUGAUCAGCCACACUGGAGCUGAGACACGGUCCAGACUCCUACGGGAGGCAGCAGUGGGGAAUAUUGGACAAUGGGCGGAAGACUGAUCCAGCCAUACCGCGUGGGUGAAGAAGGCCUUCGGGUUGUAAAGCCCUUUUGUUGGGAAAGAAAAGCAGCAGGUUAAUACCCCGCUGUUCUGACGGUACCCAAAGAAUAAGCACCGGCUAACUUCGUG